RNAcentral lists this ribosomal RNA (212 nucleotides) under uncultured bacterium. Its description in RNAcentral is "partial 16S ribosomal RNA". It matches the Rfam family "Bacterial small subunit ribosomal RNA", at positions 129 to 334 of the family's 1533-position model. The record is from RNAcentral.
CCUGGUAGCGGGGGAUAACUAAUUGGAAACGAAUAGCUAAUACCGCAUGAAAUGGAUUAUCGCAUGAUAAUCGAUUGAAAGGUGCAAAUGCAUCACUACCAGAUGGACCUGCGUUGUAUUAGCUAGUUGGUGAGGUAACGGCUCACCAAGGCAACGAUACAUAGCCGACCUGAGAGGGUGAUCGGCCACACUGGGACUGAGACACGGCCCAG